This 570-nucleotide ribosomal RNA is filed under the name uncultured bacterium. RNAcentral's name for it is "bacterial SSU rRNA". It matches the Rfam family "Bacterial small subunit ribosomal RNA", at positions 1 to 611 of the family's 1533-position model. The record is from RNAcentral.
AGGAGUUUGGAUCCUGGCUCAGAAUCAACGCUGGCGGCGCGCCUAACACAUGCAAGUCGAACGAGAAAGCCCGCAAGGGUGAGUACAGUGGCGUACGGGUGAGUAACACGUGGAUCAUCUACCUUUUAGUGGGGAAUACCACUGGGAAACCGGUGACAAUACCGCAUAAUCUCGAGAGAGGAAAGCCGCAAGGCGCUGAAAGAGGAGUCCGCGGCCGAUUAGCUAGUUGGUAGGGUAAUGGCCUACCAAGGCUUCGAUCGGUAGCCGGCCUGAGAGGGCACACGGCACACUGGCACUGAAACACGGGCCAGACUCCUACGGGAGGCAGCAGUGGGGAAUCUUGCACAAUGGGGGCAACCCUGAUGCAGCGACGCCGCGUGAGCGAUGAAGCCCUUCGGGGUGUAAAGCUCUUUCGGCAGGGAAGAUAAUGACGGUACCUGCAGAAGCAGCUGCGGCUAACUACGUGCCAGCAGCCGCGGUAAUACGUAGGCAGCAAGCGUUGUUCGGAGUUACUGGGCGUAAAGGGUGUGUAGGCGGUUCUCUAAGUUUGGUGUGAAAUCUCCCGGCUUA